Oryza brachyantha (malo sina) is the source of this 1547-nucleotide RNA transcript. It is a transcript of the gene named E3 ubiquitin-protein ligase CCNB1IP1 homolog, with no coding region annotated. The record is from RefSeq and is a predicted model, not a curated record. The transcript is spliced from 10 exons. NCBI's taxonomy places the organism in Eukaryota, Viridiplantae, Streptophyta, Magnoliopsida, Poales, Poaceae.
GCCGCCGAGGAUCCGACGCUGCACCCCCCCCUCCUCCCGAGGCUCCGACGCCGCCGCCCGACGCCGGCCGAGGCUGCCGUCCCUGUCCCCGCCGACGCUGGGUUUCUGUAUUCUACUGCUCUGUACUUAAUUUACUAGUGAGAGGCAAAAUGAAGUGCAAUGCUUGCUGGCGGGAGUUGGAAGGGCAAGCUGUAUCAACUACCUGUGGUCAUCUUUUAUGUACAGAGGACGCUAAGAAAAUACUCAGCAACGAUGCUGCAUGCCCGAUUUGUGAUCAAGUGCUUUCAAAAAGCCACAUGAGACCUGUUGAUACAAAUCCAAGUGAUGAUUGGACAAAUAUGGCCAUGGCUGGAGUUUCUCCCCAGAUAUUAAUGAAGAGUGCAUACAGAAGUGUCAUGUUUUACAUUGGGCAAAAGGAACUGGAGAUGCAGUACAAAAUGAACAGAAUUGUUGGUCAGUGUAGGCAAAAGUGUGAGCUUAUGCAGGCAAAGUUCACUGAGAAGCUGGAAGAAGUUCAUACUGCAUACCAGAAGAUGGCCAAAAAAUGCCAGUUGAUGGAACAAGAGAUUGAAAACUUGACGAGGGAUAAGCAAGAGCUACAAGAAAAAUUUGCUGAGAAAUCCAGGCAGAAAAGGAAGCUUGACGAGAUGUAUGAUCAGCUGAGAAGCGAGUACGAGUCGGCAAAGCGUUCAGCUAUUCAACCCGCGAACAACUACUUCCCAAGAGCUCAGCCAGACUUGUUCUCAGGCAUGCCCAACAUAAUGGAUAGCGACCCUCUGAGACAAGGGUCGAUUGGUCCUCCUGAAACUCCAGGGCGGAGAGAUGAGGGAUGGGCUCCACCACCAAGGCAACGUCGUUCCACCUCUGGUCCAUUUGAGCUGUCUGCGGGAUCUCCUGCUCAUAAUGCGGCGCCCCAGGUUGAUAUUAGAACCAGACAGCCGGCACGGCCCGUCUUCGGCACUACCAUGAACAAUACUUCUGCAGCUCUGCGAAAUAUGAUAAUCUCGCCUGUGAAGCGUCCUCAGCUUUCCAGAAACCGUCCACAUAUGUUCACGUUGUAGAGUUGGAUAAGCUGAGGGGGCAUGCUGCUUCGGAAUCUGUCACGCUCUUGUCAUGGACUUAUCUUCUAACUGUAAAUGCUGAUAUUAUGUUAUUGAUACACAUAUGGCUAGGGCAUAAUCCUGUUGUUCCAUUCUAUUAAUAAAAGGAGAUCAAACAGAUUAUCUAAUCAAUUUAGACGAUGAUACGACCGGUGAAGUGGCGGCGGACUUCCUUGUGUGGAAGGAGAGGAGAGAACAAUCCAACAAACAUGUUCCCACCUUGCUCAUGUGGCUAACUAUUAGGAUUUAAUUUUUGGUCUAUCGAAGUAUGGGGUAAUUUUUAGACUCAUUAUUUGUUAGAUGGACUUCGAUAUAGGAUUUUUGGACUUAAUUUCUAGAUUUCUAUCGGAGAUGAUGCUUAAUCAUACUUUGUAUAUGCUCGGGCCUCGUUUGGUUUAAAGUAAAUAUAGAAAUUUUGUAGGAUCCGAAUUAUAAUGGAUUUUUCAA